CGGACGGGUGAGUAACGCGUGGGUAACCUACCCUGUACACACGGAUAACAUACCGGAAGGUAUGCUAAUACGGGAUAAUAUAUUUGAGAGGCAUCUCUUGAAUAUCAGAGGUGAGCCAGUACAGGAUGGACCCGCGUCUGAUUAGCUAGUUGGUAAGGUAACGGCUUACCAAGGCGACGAUCAGUAGCCGACCUGAGAGGGUGAUCGGCCACAUUGGAACUGAGACACGGUCCAA
This 235-nucleotide ribosomal RNA is filed under the name uncultured bacterium. Its description in RNAcentral is "partial 16S ribosomal RNA". It matches the Rfam family "Bacterial small subunit ribosomal RNA", at positions 99 to 334 of the family's 1533-position model. The record is from RNAcentral.